CCGAGUGCUUGCACUCAAUUGGAAAGAGGAGUGGCGGACGGGUGAGUAACACGUGGGUAACCUACCCAUCAGAGGGGGAUAACACUUGGAAACAGGUGCUAAUACCGCAUAACAGUUUAUGCCGCAUGGCAUAAGAGUGAAAGGCGCUUUCGGGUGUCGCUGAUGGAUGGACCCGCGGUGCAUUAGCUAGUUGGUGAGGUAACGGCUCACCAAGGCCACGAUGCAUAGCCGACCUGAGAGGGUGAUCGGCCACACUGGGACUGAGACACGGCCCAGACUCCUACGGGAGGCAGCAGUAGGGAAUCUUCGGCAAUGGACGAAAGUCUGACCGAGCAACGCCGCGUGAGUGAAGAAGGUUUUCGGAUCGUAAAACUCUGUUGUUAGAGAAGAAUAAGGACGUUAGUAACUGAACGUCCCCUGACGGUAUCUAACCAGAAAGCCACGGCUAACUACUUGCCAGCAGCCGCGGUAAUACGUAGGUGGCAAGCGUUGUCCGGAUUUAUUGGGCGUAAAGCGAGCGCAGGCGGUUUC
This 531-nucleotide ribosomal RNA is filed under the name Enterococcus faecalis. RNAcentral's name for it is "bacterial SSU rRNA". It matches the Rfam family "Bacterial small subunit ribosomal RNA", at positions 62 to 582 of the family's 1533-position model. The record is from RNAcentral. Lineage: Bacteria; Bacillati; Bacillota; Bacilli; Lactobacillales; Enterococcaceae.